GAAAUGCGAUAAGUAGUGUGAAUUGCAGAAUUCAGUGAAUCAUCGAAUCUUUGAACGCACAUUGCGCCCCUUGGUAUUCCAUGGGGCUUGCCUGUUCGAGCGUCAUUUGUACCCUCAAGCUUUGCUUGGUGUUGGGCGUCUUGUCGGAAUAUCCGACUCGCCUUAAAUACAUUGGCAGCCGGCACUUUGGCCUAGGAGCGCAGCACAUUUUGCGAUCGUAAGCCGUUGUGACAGCAUCCAUAAGAUUUAUUUUACCACGUUUGACCUCGGAUCAGGUAGGGAUACCCGCUGAACUUAAGC
RNAcentral lists this unclassified non-coding RNA (300 nucleotides) under plant metagenome. RNAcentral's name for it is "partial contains 5.8S ribosomal RNA, internal transcribed spacer 2, and large subunit ribosomal RNA". The stretch from base 1 to 105 matches the Rfam family "5.8S ribosomal RNA", at positions 50 to 154 of the family's 154-position model. The record is from RNAcentral.